RNAcentral lists this ribosomal RNA (587 nucleotides) under uncultured bacterium. RNAcentral describes it as "partial 16S ribosomal RNA". It matches the Rfam family "Bacterial small subunit ribosomal RNA", at positions 355 to 1375 of the family's 1533-position model. The record is from RNAcentral.
UGGGGAAUAUUGCACAAUGGGCGCAAGCCUGAUGCAGCCAUGCCGCGUGUGUGAAGAAGGCCUUCGGGUUGUAAAGCACUUUCAGCGAGGAGGAAGGUGGUGAGCUUAAUACGCUCAUCAAUUGACGUUACUCGCAGAAGAAGCACCGGCUAACUCCGUGCCAGCAGCCGCGGUAAUACGGAGGGUGCAAGCGUUAAUCGGAAUUACUGGGCGUAAAGCGCACGCAGGCGGUUUGUUAAGUCAGAUGUGAAAUCCCCGGGCUCAACCUGGGAACUGCAUUUGAAACUGGCAAGCUAGAGUCUCGUAGAGGGGGUAGAAUUCCAGGUGUAGCGGUGAAAUGCGUAGAGAUCUGGAGGAAUACCGGUGGCGAAGGCGGCCCCCUGGACGAAGACUGACGCUCAGGUGCGAAAGCGUGGGGCAGCAAACAGGAUUAGAUACCCUGGUAGUCCACGCUGUAAACGAUGUCGAUUUUGGAGGUUGUGCCCUUGAGGCGUGGCUUCCGGAGCUAACGCGUUAAAUCGACCGCCUGGGGAGUACGGCCGCAAGGUUAAAACUUAAAGGAAUUGACGGGGUCAUAGCUGUUUCCU